GAGAGAGAGAGAGAGAGAGAGAGAGAGAGAGAGAGAGAGAGAGAGAGAGAGAAGAAUGGUAGGGGCGAUAGCACCAAGAGAAUCAGAUGCUUUACAGAUAUUCCUGGGUUAAUGGAAUUAUGGUUUAACCUUGAAGAGAGAAACAAAAGGGAAGACAGGCGUGCAUACAAACAGAAGGAUACGCCACAGUCAUCUCUGCCCAAACAUCCGGAAAGCCUGGUAGCCUCAGAGCUGCAGUCUCGUAGAGGUGCCACAAUAACGCCUUCCACAACAUUCUUUAUUUGUGGUUUCCUUUUUUUUUUUUAUUGAGACACGCAGAAGCUCAGAAAUGCUUACAUUUCAAUUCCUUGUGGACUUGCCUGUCAGUACUAAGUCUUUGAUGUCUUUAUCUGGAAACCUAGAUUCAGGAAUGGUUCAUUCCAGACAGCUACUAUCUUCUUUUGACCAGUCAAGAUCUCUGCUCCUUAUUUCUCUAACAGUUGGCUAAGAAAUUGAUCCCGAAUUCCCAUUGUUCCCUGUAGUUUUUAUCUGAUUGUCUUGUGGUAUUUGCUCUGCAUUUGCAAAAGGAGAAUUUUGGCUGUCUGAGGGAAGGACCAGCUGCCUUGCUACCAUCCUUUUCAAGCCGUUUUAUUCCUUGAUAAAACCGUAAAAAGGGAGCCAGAGUCACAAAGGUCAAGAUGGCAGCCAUACAUGUCCAGCUGAAGCCCCACCCCUUUUCCACAUUUAUGGCCCAUAAAAAAUGGGCGGGAGUUUGAUUGCCCAGUCCCGCCCACCCAGUGUAGGUUUUUGAGAACCUGGCCUGAUGUCUCAGGAUAAAACUUUGUUCUAAACCAUCUUGGAUCCAUGUUAUUUUAAGUUACUGAUCUAUUUUUUCCCUUGGUAAAAGAAUAAUUGUGAAUUACUGUCUCAAUUAAAAACACACUUGAGAUUAAUAUUUAAUAAUUACUUUUCAUAAAGCGAUUGUUAAGCGAUCAAUAAUUUAUUUUGAUUCAUCUUUUAACAGUGUUUCAUCCUACCUUACAAGAAAAUUUUAAAAGAUUUAAAAAAAAGGAUUACCUCAUGAGCUUUAUCCUAAACCAGGGGUAGGCAACCUUGGCUCUUUUAUGACUCGUAGACUUCAAUUCUCUUCUGAUCUGACCCCCUUUUUGAGCAGGAGAAUCUGUACCAUUCCAGAUAAAUGGCUGUCCAGAUUCUUCUUCAAAACCUCCAGUGGUGGAGCAGGUGGCAACAUCUGCCAGCAGAGCAUUCCCAGAAAGUGAGGAUUGUACUGCUGGGCUCCAUCAAGCAUCCUGCUACUUUUGGCCUACUUGAAGCAGAGAGAGAUGUAAGAAGGCAAGUGGAUUUUGAAAACAACACAAAUGGAUUUUGAAACAGAAAUAAGUGGAACUGAAUCCCUGCAAGCCUCAAGCAGACCGACUCUGUUUGCCAGUUGAUGUCCACACGUUUGUUUCCUUCUCAUUUUUCUUGCUUCAAAAUGUCUACAUUUCGCCUUAAAGAAAAAUGAUGGUCAUUCAGUUGAUGGAACUGGUUGACUGCUGAAUGGAUGGUUUCUACAUGAGAUGGUGAUGAUGAGAGAGAGAGAGAGAGAUGAUAGAUAGAUAACAGAUAGACAGAGAAACAGAUAGAUUUAUAGAUUUUAGUUAGAUAGAGGGAGAGAGAGAAUUUGCUACCCUUUGGGCAAUACGAACUGACUUGUAGAAUUGUGUUUGAAGUUCAGACUGAGAAACUUUAUGCUAACUCCUUACGCACUUUGUGAUAAAUUUCUGCAUGGAUACUAUGAUGGACAUUUUUAUCUUUCAGGUUUGGCAUCACUUUGUUAAAGUCAAGGAUUUUAUUCCACAUUUCUUAUAUGCCACAGGUUUUCAGAACUUACAUUGAUGUUUGCCAAAUUAUGAUUAUGGAGCAGAUUGGGUAGCUUGCAUGCUAAAGAUCCUUUUCUUUAGGGUGAUGCUAGAGUAAGUAUAUGGAGAACAUGGACUUCAUUUUUUCAUCCCAAUGUUCUACGUUUAUGGUUUAAAAAUAAUCUUUUCAAUGUGGCUGCUGCACAUUUUCUUUCUUUCUUUCUUUCUUUCUUUCUUUCUUUCUUUCUUUCUUUCUUUCUUUCUUUCUUUCUUUUCUUCUUUUUGUUAUGUUAGCUCAAAAUUGGGCUUCGCUGUUAGUUAUACCUCUGGCUUGUCCUGGCAAAGCCAUAUGCCACUUUUAACAAUACUUUUCUCCUCCUCCUCCUCCUCCUCCUCCUCCUCCUCCUCCUCCUCCUCCUCCUCCUCCUCUUUUAUAGGCAAAAACAGACUCAAAGAAAGAAGGAGAGCAUGGAGCCGUGUUUCUCAGCUUGCCCGUUAGAAGACUUCAACCCAUAGAACUCGCCAGUCAACCAGGCUGGCUCAGGAAUUCGGGAAGUUGGGAUCGACCUGUCUUAGCUGACAAGUUUGGGAAACACAGGCACAGAGCUUCUCUUGUGCAAAACCCGUAAGACGAAUUUCAGCCUGUGCUCAUUCAGUCUUAUAAAAAAUGCUAGCAGUAAUUUAUAAGGGCAAGGAGGAGGAGGAAGAACAGGUGAAGCACUCUGGAUAUGGAGAUGUGCUUUUCUUUCUCCUUCUCGGGAGCAGCUCUCCUGCAAGGGGAAAUAAUUGAAAAUCAAGAAAAUCAAGUCACGGGGGGGGGGGGAGCAGGUGCUUUGGCGGCUACUUACAUCAAGGCAUAUCAGCCUGCUCAGUGGGGACCAUUUCCUGCUUUAGAAGCCUGGAAGUUGCUCUCCUGGCUGGCGACCUUGGGACUCCCGUGUUUCUUGAACACGGCUGAGGUGGGUUCCCAGCCACUUGGAUGAAGGAACCUGCAAUCCUCUUGGAAGCUACUCUUCCUUUCUUUGGAGUCCAAAGGGAGCGCCCCUUCUCGGCAUCGGAAGGGAAAUGGGCACCCCGUGUUCGGGGAGGGUGGCAGUUCUCUGCUUUCUCCCUGGGUGGCCCAGGGUUAAAGGGUGGCUGGUGCAGCCCAAGGACGAGUCCGGCCCUGAACGGCCAGGAGAAGGGGGGGGGAUCGGAGGCCAGGGAGACAGGAGGACUCUCUUCCCCAUCACUUAAUUAAUGGAAAGCACUCCGUGCAUCUGUCAGCAGCUCCACUGUGAGGCAAUUUUUGUCAUAAAAGGCCCCCAUUCAUCAGUUGCCAGGAGAGCCGUGGCCUAUUCUUGAAUUCAUACAAAACUCAAAAGAAAAAACAACAAGCACAGCCUGGCUAAUUGAGUAGCGUGUGGGAUGCAGCUGGUGCUACUGUUGGACGGGGUGAGGCUUCCUCUCCCCCCCCCCUUCCCUUCCCUGAGAUAAUGCCCAACUUGGAUUGGGGGGGAGGGGAGGGGGGCAGCAUCAUUGUCCGACUGGCUCAGCUUUUAUCAAAAGGAAGAUUAAUCCCAUCUUUAUGAAGGAGGGAGAACAUAAAAAUGCCGUUCACCAGCCGGGUAGCCCAAAGACGUUCAUGUGGCCUUAUAGCAGGGGUCUUCAAACUUGGCCCUUUGGUGACUUGUGGACUUCAACUCCCAGCGUUGCUGGCUGAGGAAUUCUGAGAGUUGAAGUCCACAAGUCAUCAAAGGGCCAAGUUUGAAGACCCCUGCCUGAAAGGGUCUGGGGACUCCGUUAUGGGAACUCAGCCCCUGGCUAAGCAUGUGGGGGGGGGGUAGAUUGAUGGAGCAGCCACAACGUCUAGAGGGUGACAGUUCUCACUGGCAGGAAAUUUCUCCUGACUUCUAGAAGGGAUCUGUCUUUAAUGAUCCUCUAGUCCUGCUCUCAGGUGCUUUGGAGAAUAAAGGCAGCUAUCCUGUCACCCCUAAUCCUUCUCCCCUUUAGGCUAGCCAUGCCCAGAGCCCCCAAACCCUUAUUGUAGAACUUAGCCUCCAGACCCCUAAUCAACUUUUUGUGGCUCUUCUCUGCGCACCUUCUCUGAUCAUGGCGGCUUUUAUGUAUCUUGGUGACCAGAAUUGGAUACUGCUGUGGAUGUUGGUCUGCAUUUCUUCAUGGGGUAAUGGGAGGGGUCAUCUUAAAUUAGGAUUUCUUCCCUCCCUACUCCCCCAAAAAAAGUAUGUUGUCCCAAAGAAAGCAGAGCUGAUGUUUCUGGCUCUACUUCCUUCCCUCCGUUCUGCAGAAGAAGCUUGCAAUCGGAUGCGCUCCGGAGGUUUUAGACUCUUAGUCCCCUGUGAGUCCUGGCCAGAUGUGCAGUCAGAUGUUGGAAGUUGAUCAUCUGGAAGUGAUGUGAAGUUUGCCCACUCUGGCACCGGGCUAACUGAGAAGUCUGUUAGGUGUGCCUAUUCUGUGGCCAGCUUUAAUCUGCUGAUUAUUGUGGCACGAGGUUGUCUCAACUGGAAGGUGGAUUUAAGCAGCUGGACAGAAAUGUUGUAAAUGGACAGACUCAGCACUCUUCGUUCAGCAAAAUUAAUUUGCUUAUGAUUGCAGGGCGGGGUUUUUUUAGGGAAGGAUCUGUGAUUAAUUGAAAACUUGGAACAUACUCUUCUGCUUCUUUUCUGGGGUUCUUGACCCUGCGGCUCCUAACAUCACACAAUCCAUGGCUUUUGGCCUUUAAGCCAUGGCCUCUUCUAGAUGCCCCUAUAGCCUCCCGGGCCCCCGAGAAUUUCCCACCAGGCUCUUGCCAACCCUUUAGGCCAUUCAUUUUGGUUGUCUGUCACAAUGAAUUGUGGUCACUUACAAAGGAUCCUCCCUGCCACCGAGGCCCCUCUGGCUCCAUGCAAAAAGGGCUUCGGAGUGAGCUGUGGAUGCAUCUCCUGCUAACACCCCCCCCCCUCCCUCUCUCUCUCUCUGUACCGGCCCCAAACCUCUUGUCCUCCUGCUUUUCCAGGAGACAAGCUUUCUCUCUUCCAAGCUUCCCAAGCAACAAAGAGAGAGAGAGAAAGCUCUGACUUCUCUCUGGAGCAACUUCUCUGCCAUGGAGGUCAGAUGGGCCCUACCCUGACGGCCUUACAGGAAGUCCUUGACUUGUGACAGAGGGAGGCCUAGUUUUAAAUGAGUCAUGCCCAAUUUCGUGACCAUGAUUGUUGAAUGAAUUACUGCAGUUGUUAAGUGAAGGACGUGGUCCUUAAAUGAAUCCGCCUUCCCCCGUUGACUUAGCUUGUGGAAAGCUGGCUGGGAAGGGCACCAGGGGGGAUCGCGUGAUUCCGGGUUGCUGCAACCAUUGUCGACGUUCUGUUUCCAAGCAGCCAAAUUUCCAUCACCGGACGUAGGGAGGCUGCAAUGGUCAUAAGUACGAGGACCGGUUGGAAGUCACUUUUUUGGUGCCAUGGUAACUUGAACAGUUGCUAAACAAAUAGUAAGUUGAGGACAAUCUGUAUACAACAUGUUGAAAGUGGUCCUCUUCAGGGGGUUAUUCGGAUGUGCCUAAUGGAGGUAAUGGUUUUUAUUAAUAGUUUUAAUUAGCAUUUAUUGCUUUUAAGUCUUUGGCUUUGAUUUUAUGAGUGUUCUCUAUGCUUUAUUGUGCUCAUUGUGAGGAGUUCAAAAUGAGGGCCUUGCGGAACGAGUGGCAUACAAAUGCGUGUCCCUGGCAGGGAGGGCGGGCGGGUGGGUGCCUGCUCCAAAAUGGCGGAGGAGAAGUUGGGGAGGGAGGAGAGGACCGUCCUCUCCCACAGGGGUGUCCACAGGUUGACAGGAAAAGCUGCCAGGCCUCCCCCGAGGCCGCCUUCUUCCUCCCUGGCCUCUCUGGGCAAAGACUUGGCCUCCAUGGCUGCUUUCCUCAAUUAAGGAAAAGCCAAAGUCUGGCUGAUGAUGGGUUUGGCCUCACCCUGGCUGGCCCUCCGUCCACCUCUGGAGCUCAGCCCACAGCAGGGCACGAGCAGGCGCCAGGGGCCUCUCCCCAAGAGCCCCCGAACCCUCAGAGUGGAUGGGCGCCUUUCCAUUUGGCCACUGAGAGGACAACUAGGGAGUCCCUGGCUUACCACAGCUCAUUUAGUGACGGUUCAAAGUUACAAUGGCACUGAGAAAAUACUGCUGCCGUGACAGCAUAGCCGCAGUACAAAAAAAGUGGACGAUGCACACCAAGUUUACUUCCAACCAUGUUUCAUCUCGGAAGAACUGAGAUCAAACCUGGAUGGAAAGAAACCCUGUGGGCAUCGUCCGCUUUCCCUACUGCAGCCGGGCCCUCCUGGUGGCCCUCACUGUGCGUCUUACUGGGUGCACAUAUUCAAAGCAAGCUUUAUUUAUUUCAUUUAUUUACAAAACCUACAUGCCCCCCCCCCCGUCUCACAACAAGCCAUUAAAAAACAUGGCGAGAAACAGGUCCAGAAGUUGCUUUGGGAUUUUGAAAAAUUGCUGGUAAUUCUUUCAAAGCAGUCAGGAAGACUCAGGGAUCCAUCUGUCUUUAAGGAUGAAUCUUUUAAAUCAUUGUUUAUGUAAGCGGAUCACAGCUUAAACUCAGAGCCCUUCAUUGUUUAUUUUUUAAUUAAAGGCUUUGGGGGAGGAUUCGCAUUACAAAUAUCUCCUUCCUUGUCAAACAUAUAGUUAAUGACACAAAACAGCAAGUCUCUAAUCUUCCCCUCCCCUCCCGUGACCCCCACCCCUGCCUUGGCCGCUCCUUCCUUUAGGCCAUUGACACGUAUUGACCUCUUUACAGCAAUCGUACUCCCAUCGCUUGAUGAGCCUGUUGCGGAACAAUAGAAGCAGAGACAACGGGGAAUUAAAGAGGCUGGUGCACGCAGCAGAGUGUGGAUAGCCAGGUCCAGCAAAAUUUAGGCUGUCGUGAUCAUCAUCAAGAACAUCAUCAUUAAAAGUAAACGUGAAAGGCGUGUGGCAUUAUUAAUCUUCCUCUUAGCAGUAAAAACUACAAGCAAAGGAGGGGUCAGCAGUGGCAAAAGGGCCUCCUCAGAAGUUCCAAGAUCUCCGAACAGAAGGAAAGAAAAGAUGUUCACCCAACUCUCGUCCAUCUCCUUCCCCACAACCCCCAAACCAGAACUGCCGUUUCUGUGCUGAUGAGAGCAGCAGGGAAAGAGAGAUCCUGAUCGGAAUUGCCGAAGGCCAGGAAAGAGGAUUUAAUCUCACUUUUCCCAGCAGGACUCAUACGGGCAAAAUUGAUGCUUUCAUGAAGGCAAAUAAAAUCGGCUGUUUCUGUAGCUGCCAUA
Long non-coding RNA from Crotalus tigris (Tiger rattlesnake), 7105 nucleotides. RefSeq lists it as uncharacterized. The transcript has 2 exons. Lineage: Eukaryota; Metazoa; Chordata; Lepidosauria; Squamata; Viperidae. The record is from RefSeq and is a predicted model, not a curated record.